UACAGAGGGUGCAAGCGUUAAUCGGAAUUACUGGGCGUAAAGCGUGCGUGGACGGUUACAUAAGUCGGGUGUGAAAGCCCCGGGCUCAACCUGGGAAUUGCAUUCGAGACUGCGUAGCUAGGGUGCGGAAGAGGGAAGCGGAAUUUCCGGUGUAGCGGUGAAAUGCGUAGAUAUCGGAAGGAACACCAGUGGCGAAAGCGGCUUCCUGGUCCAGCACCGACGUUCAGGCACGAAAGCGUGGGGAGCAAACAGG
Molecule: ribosomal RNA, 253 nt
Filed under: uncultured bacterium
Lineage: Bacteria
Description: partial 16S ribosomal RNA
Rfam family: Bacterial small subunit ribosomal RNA
Source: RNAcentral